AAUUUUAAAAAGAAUUAAGAAACCUUUAUAAAGGUUAUUUCAAACGAUUCAAAACAGGAAAAUCGUUUUAAGUUAGAGAUUCUAUAUUAGCUGUUCCUAAUAACGUAAACGUCCGCUAACUUGCAGUUAUCCGGAUAGUUUGAAAAUCGUCUUUGACUAACUUUGGAAAAAAGUUGAUUUCUGCAAAGAAAAGCAAUUUUAGUGAUAUUUUAGUGUUUAUGCAAAACCAAUUUUUAGGCGACUUAGUUAGGGAUUUUAACUAAGUUCGCAAAGAAACAUGUAAAUAAGUAAACGAAAGGAAAAGGGGAGAAAAGCGGGGAAGUAUUGAUUUAGGCUUUCAAGCCCAAACCAUCGGCCCUGACCUAAUCUAGUUGAGUUUUCAACCCAUUUCACACGUCUUAGUCUAGUUUUCGAGCCUUUGGCUCGAAUCUCGCUCCACUUGCAUUAAAUUUACAACUUUGGCUUCGAGGCCCAAAUGAAAUAAAGGAAUAAAUAAAUAAACAAAUAAAUAAAAGACGACAAAAUAAAUGAACAAAUAAUAGAAAAGAAACGUUCUAAUCCCUCGGCCGCUUCAAAGAUGGGAUUUUAAUCCAUUAUUCCUCUUUCGACUUCUCGUAUCCAUAUGCCACAUGCUCAACUUUGGGCUUUCAUUCGGGCUUAACUCGGAAGGAUAGGCCUCAUUGGCC
This 686-nucleotide long non-coding RNA is filed under the name Capsicum annuum. RNAcentral describes it as "long non-coding RNA (CANN_LNC021172)". Lineage: Eukaryota; Viridiplantae; Streptophyta; Magnoliopsida; Solanales; Solanaceae. The record is from RNAcentral.